Molecule: ribosomal RNA, 253 nt
Filed under: uncultured bacterium
Lineage: Bacteria
Description: partial 16S ribosomal RNA
Rfam family: Bacterial small subunit ribosomal RNA
Source: RNAcentral
UACGUAUGGUGCAAGCGUUAUCCGGAUUUACUGGGUGUAAAGGGAGCGUAGACGGCUGUGCAAGCCUGAAGUGAAAGGCCGGGGCCCAACCCUGGGAGUGCUUUGGGAACUGUGCAGCUAGAGUGUCGGAGAGGCAAGUGGAAUUCCCAGUGUAGCGGUGAAAUGCGUAGAUAUUGGGAGGAACACCAGUGGCGAAGGCGUCUUGCUGGACGAUGACUGACGUUGAGGCUCGAAAGCGUGGGGAGCAAACAGG